This 997-nucleotide long non-coding RNA is filed under the name Equus asinus (donkey). RNAcentral describes it as "lncRNA (ENSEASG00005026660.1)". Lineage: Eukaryota; Metazoa; Chordata; Mammalia; Perissodactyla; Equidae. The record is from RNAcentral.
GUUUUCUCGAAGGGCCAGAUUGCCUUGGACAGUCUGUCCGCUGGGGUUGGAGGAGUUUGGCUGCCAGAUAGAUUCUCGGAUGGGGCAGCCUAGCAGAGUGUGUGUAAAACCCUUCCACCGUCAAGAGGGGAUCCAGGCAGCCUGCGUCCUGCCCGCUCCGGGGAGCGGAGGCGGGUGUUAGUGGUUAGAGGAAACUUUCCAGCAGAGCGCCUUGCUAGAGCAAACGGCGCAUCUGUCAGGAACGCUCUCUGGGCACUGUUCUUGCAAGGAGCUUCUGUUGUUCCAGUGCAGUAGAUGCAGAAAGGAAGCGAAGCAGACCUGGCACAAAGCAUCUCAGAAGGGUCUUGUGGCUGGGAGAAGAAAUGGAACACAGCCACACCGGAGCACCACCGCUCCACCUCUCCAGGACAGGAGGCGUUUUGUAGUCAGUGGAAGACAUGAAUGUCCCUCAUUACUCUUUUUGUAUGUGUGAGGGUGAUUUUGGGGGAAAAUACACAACCCAGGAGACAUCCAGACAGGGAGGCUGUUCUCACUGGCGACAUUUGUGCCGCAUUCUUCCUUGCUCCUGGUGUGCAUUGCAACACUCAGACGGGUGGCUCUGGGAGCCAAGUGGCUGAUUGGAAUCCCCAGGAGGCAGCAAAUACAAAUUAAUCUUCAGGCCCACCAGUUCCCCUGAAACAUACCACUUGUUAAACUAUGACUUCCAAGCCAAGAGCAGCAAUUUUCCACAGUUCAAGUCUGGAAAAGGCUAUGAAACCACAUGGGUCAGGAGACCAAAGAUGGUUUAUUGCUAUUUUGAAUGGAGCACCAGAAGGACAACUCCAAAAUUCCAGAUGUGCAGCAGCUGGAUAAAGUGGUGUCCACAAAUAUGUGUCGCAGCUUUAGAAAGGCAACUGCUGGAGGCUUUUAAAAACAGACCAUUGACUUCCUUCUCUUUUCUUUCCUUUUUUUUAAAAAAAAAAAAAAAGCUUAUCUGAACCUCUGGACUUACUUGUUU